Molecule: long non-coding RNA, 334 nt
Organism: Megalops cyprinoides (Indo-Pacific tarpon)
Lineage: Eukaryota; Metazoa; Chordata; Actinopteri; Elopiformes; Megalopidae
Exons: 3
Source: RefSeq, a predicted model, not a curated record
GUGGUUUUCCCACGCUGGUACCAUAAAUGACAAGGUUACCCUUACUCUGCCUCUUUUGCGACUUAUCAGAGGCAGAGGAGUGUGACGCGCCUGGCUCGCUCCGUGCCUGAUUUUGUUUUCUUCCCUGUGUUUUGUCAGAAAUAAAAUUCUUAAAAUCAGGUCCUUUGUGGCGUCCCUGUUCCACACAAAACACAACGCAAGAGACCACCCGUUACAUUGGUGCCGUUUGACCCGUCGUUUGUUCAGCUGAAGCCGAACGCUGGGGUUGCUGCUGCUGCUUGGAUGGGACGUUCCACCGGACCUGUUGCUGACUGCUGCUGUGCUGUUGUCGUCA